RNAcentral lists this ribosomal RNA (463 nucleotides) under uncultured Klebsiella sp. RNAcentral's name for it is "bacterial SSU rRNA". It matches the Rfam family "Bacterial small subunit ribosomal RNA", at positions 338 to 795 of the family's 1533-position model. Lineage: Bacteria; Pseudomonadati; Pseudomonadota; Gammaproteobacteria; Enterobacterales; Enterobacteriaceae. The record is from RNAcentral.
CCUACGGGGGGCUGCAGUGGGGAAUAUUGCACAAUGGGCGCAAGCCUGAUGCAGCCAUGCCGCGUGUGUGAAGAAGGCCUUCGGGUUGUAAAGCACUUUCAGCGGGGAGGAAGGCGGUGAGGUUAAUAACCUCAUCGAUUGACGUUACCCGCAGAAGAAGCACCGGCUAACUCCGUGCCAGCAGCCGCGGUAAUACGGAGGGUGCAAGCGUUAAUCGGAAUUACUGGGCGUAAAGCGCACGCAGGCGGUCUGUCAAGUCGGAUGUGAAAUCCCCGGGCUCAACCUGGGAACUGCAUUCGAAACUGGCAGGCUAGAGUCUUGUAGAGGGGGGUAGAAUUCCAGGUGUAGCGGUGAAAUGCGUAGAGAUCUGGAGGAAUACCGGUGGCGAAGGCGGCCCCCUGGACAAAGACUGACGCUCAGGUGCGAAAGCGUGGGGAGCAAACAGGAUUAGACCCGAGUAGUC